Long non-coding RNA from Zingiber officinale, 930 nucleotides. RefSeq lists it as uncharacterized. The transcript has 3 exons. Lineage: Eukaryota; Viridiplantae; Streptophyta; Magnoliopsida; Zingiberales; Zingiberaceae. The record is from RefSeq and is a predicted model, not a curated record.
UAUUUAGCAGUCAGGGGCUCUAAUCGUCUUCUUCUGCGUUCGGGAAAGGGAGGAUAUGGCUUGAUUCGGGAGGUUACCUCGCCGGCGGUUCUUCUGGCGCCGCUCGUCUCGUCGGGCUGGUGGCUGGCCGCUUCGGGAUUCAUCUCCGAGGACGUGUUCGUGCGUUGCGUGACCACCGGCCGGAGAUUGCUGCAGCAACCGACGGGUUGAGGUCGAUGCCUAGUCCCUUCUUCGGCAAGCACUCUGUCAGUGAAGUCGAUGGCAUCACCAUUGCUCUUCUCGCCUGGUACCAAGAGAAUGCUAUUCCCCAUUCUGAACCCUCGAGGCGACGCUGGCCACCCAACAGCAUGAGGAGCCCAAGGAUGCAGUCCUUCUCAUCUUGACUGACGAAAGGCGACAGCAGAGGCGAAGGGCGGCGGCCCUUCGUUCGCCGGCGCUUUAUCCCCCACGAGGCAGCUGGCAGAGUGCAUCGGAGGAGUCUGCCAGCCAUGGUCUGCCGUUCCUCUCCUUGAACCCUAGCUAAAGCAGACGGUGAAGUCAAAGGGCGACGGCCCUUCGUUCGCCGGCGCUUCAUCCCCCACGAGGCAGCUGGCAGAGUGCAUCGGAGGAGUCUAGGGCGACGGCCCUUCGUUCGCUGGCUCUUCAUCCCCCACGAAGCAGCUGGCAGCAUGCAUCGGAGGAGUCUAGGGCGGCGGCCCUUCGUUCGCUGGCUCUUCAUCCCCCACGAAGCAGCUGUUGCUCUCGAAUGCGAAGCAAGCAAAGUGGCGGCGCUGUCAGAAUUUAGUGGAGCAAUCGGAAUCCAAUCAAGAGAUGUAGAAUGAAAGGGACCCUAUCACCGACCAGCAUCAACAUGUAUAAAAUGCCAUAUAUAUUUUUUCUUUUUCCUAUCAAAAUACCACUAUAUAUCUAUUUUUACUAUUUUCAUUAUUA